RNAcentral lists this ribosomal RNA (491 nucleotides) under uncultured bacterium. RNAcentral describes it as "partial 16S ribosomal RNA". It matches the Rfam family "Bacterial small subunit ribosomal RNA", at positions 29 to 506 of the family's 1533-position model. The record is from RNAcentral.
AGUGAACGCUGGCGGUAGGCCUAACACAUGCAAGUCGAACGGCAGCACAGUAAGAGCUUGCUCUUACGGGUGGCGAGUGGCGGACGGGUGAGGAAUACAUCGGAAUCUACUUUUUCGUGGGGGAUAACGUAGGGAAACUUACGCUAAUACCGCAUACGACCUACGGGUGAAAGCAGGGGAUCUUCGGACCUUGCGCGAUUGAAUGAGCCGAUGUCGGAUUAGCUAGUUGGCGGGGUAAAGGCCCACCAAGGCGACGAUCCGUAGCUGGUCUGAGGGGAUGAAAGGCCCCCCGGGACAUAGGCACGGGUCAAGCUUCCUAGGGGAGCCGCAGGUGGGAAAAUUUGGCCAAGGGGGGAAAGCCUAUCCAGGCAAUCCGCGGUGGUUGAAGAAGGCUUUGGGUUGUAAAGGCCCUUUUGUUGGGAAAGAAAGGAAGCAGGUAAAAACCCCGCUGUUCUGCCGGUACCAAAGGAAUAGGCACCGGCUACCUUCUU